Molecule: ribosomal RNA, 293 nt
Filed under: Abyssorchomene abyssorum
Lineage: Eukaryota; Metazoa; Arthropoda; Malacostraca; Amphipoda; Lysianassidae
Description: partial 16S ribosomal RNA
Rfam family: Bacterial large subunit ribosomal RNA (bases 157-293)
Source: RNAcentral
GACGAUAAGACCCUAAAAGCUUUAUUUUGUUCAAAUAUUUAUAUUGUAGUUAAAUAAUUUUACUGGGGUAGUGACUUUUUAUAUAUUGAAGUUUGAUAAGCAUUAAAGUGGAGAUAGUUCUUAUAUAUAAUAAAAAAUUGAUUAAGUUACUUUAGGGAUAACAGCGCAAUAAUUUCGGAAAGUCCAUAUUUAUGAGAUUGAUUGCGACCUCGAUGUUGAAUUAAAUAAUCUUGGUAGAGCAGAAGCUAUUUAAGAGGGUUUGUUCAACCCUUAAAUUUUUACAUGAUCUGAGU